AAAAGGUUGGAUGUUUAUUGUAUACCUCAAAAGUGAUGACGUUUUGCACAAAGCACAUGGCAGAAAUGGAUUUCGAAGUGGUUGUAGGAACUUAUGAAGAGAUUUUACUUGGGUUUAGAGUUAUCCAAGUAGGCGAGAAUUUCCAAUUGGAGCCAAGUUUCACAGACCAUUCUCAUUCUGGUUGUAUAAAACAUGUGGCUGUGUCAGCAAAAGGAAUGCUUGCAUCGGGAGGAACAGAUGAAACCAUUCAGCUGUUCAGUCUCAGAAAGCGGUCACAGCUAGGAUCCCUGACUCACCAUUCUGGAUCUGUGACCUGUGUACAGUUUUAUAAGAAUUCCCAUAUGUUUAGUGCCAGUGAAGAUGGGACCUUUUGCAUUUGGAAAACAUUUUCAUGGGAAUGCCUGAAGACCCUCAGAGGGCAUAAGGGACCAGUCCUUUCUCUCUCAGUCCACCCCAGUGGGAAAUUAGCAUUAACAGUUGGUCAAGACAAAACUCUGAGAACUUGGAAUCUCAUCACAGGAAAGUCGGCUUACAUCUCGAACAUCAAAAGAGUUGCUGAUAUUGUAUCAUGGUCUCCCAGUGGUGCUUUUUACGCAGUUGUGUUUGCCAGUAAAGUGGAUGUCUAUAAACUAGAGACUGCCUGUGUGUGCUCAUCGUGGACGCUUGAAAAGAAAAUCAACAGCUUUGCCUUCGUUAAUGACAGUAUUGUGGUUUAUGGUGGAGAAGGAGGAAUGGUUUCUUUUUAUGACAUCAACAACAACACAGAAAUCUCAUCAGUCAAUGCAGAGGUCAACAGGAUCAGGGGUAUUUCUUUAAUGAAAUCUGAUGGAUCCGAUGAGGACAAAUACUAUAUGUUUACAGCCUCCAGUGAUGGAUUUCUGAAGAUGUUCUCUGUUAUAGUGGAGGGAACCAAGGUGAAUGUGAAAUGUCUGUCAUCACACAAUGCAGAUUUUAGACUGACUUGUAUAACUGUGAUGAGACCCCAGACUUUAGUGAAGGAGGAAAUCUCUGAGGUUACGGUGAACACAGAUAGUGUUGUUGAGGACAGAUUAUCAGAGAAGGAGGAGGACACAGAACAGAUUGAAUCAAGUGCAAAUAAAAAGUCACCCAAGCGAAAGACAGAGAGAAAUUUAAAGCACAGCAUGAAAGAUAAAGCUGUCAAGCGGUUAGGAAAACAACCACUGCUGAAAAGAAAAGGGAAAAAAAUAAAGAAAGAGAUUGAAGAUACAUAAUGACUUUAAGAUCGCUGGAAACGGCAGUUUUAUCUGUAAAGUUCUACAAUGUUGCCAUUAAAACUGCCUCUUCGGGAAGAGGCGUUAAUCCAAAUAUCUUCAACAAAUCUCGCUGAGAUUGUCACCUCCAGUGCUUGUUUCUGCAAGCCACGAACAUGCUCUCACACUCCAGAGUGAUGAAUUAUCUCUAUUCUCUUUAGAGAAGUGGACAGGCGUAGCCUAAGGAUGAUUCUGAUUUACAAAAAUGUGUGAUUUUCUUAUGUUGACCCUAUACUCCUGUGUUGGUAUGUCUGACAUCUUAUAAAAGCUGGUAACAUACACAUUUUCUUUGGUUAUUAAUUAAAUUAAAACUGCAUUGAGUGGAAAUUAAUACAGUUUUUUCCACCUUUUCAACCCAUUCUCUCACCAGAGGGCGCGCUACGCAUGCUUCUCUUUGUGGAGCGUAGCGUAACGCCCUCUGGUGAGAGAUUGCUUUUCAACCAUUAAUAGUUACAAGUCGUAUGAGGAUAGAGUAGCCUGGUUCCCGAGGCCUUCCGAUGUGCAAGCACGAAGGCCAGGCACUCACUGUCGAAUGGAUUCUUCCACUGAUCAAAAUCCAAUAUGGCGGACUCAAUGAUAAUUUUCCAUACAUAUGGAAAGAAGAAACAUAUGAUAGUGGGUGAAAAAAACACCCUCAUAUAUAAUGCUUCAUGAAUAUGCAAAACCAUGCCAACAGUCUACAGACUCCAGAUGGAAAGAGAUGGAGAAAGAAUUUCUAAAGGGGUAUUCAAGGACCCAUCCUCCUCCACACUAAUUCAUAUUGGAAGGAAUUGACAUCCAACUUGAAUAAAGAAUUACAGACUUCCAGAACAGGUGCAUCAUGCAGAUCCUUUUAAAAAGGAGAGGCCAGAUCUUCAGAUGACUUUAUUGAAAAUGAGAAAUUUCUGAGUGGAAGUGACGAAUGUGGCAUGCAUACAAGCAGACAUCAGCAUUCCCUCCCUCUUGUUAGUAUCAGAGGUGAGCUUUUUGAGAAAGACUCAUGGAGGAAGUUUGAGAGUGUCAGUUCUCAGAUCAAAAAGUUAGCUAGCAGUAGGAGGAGUAGCAAUUCAUUCAACAGUAUGACAUGAGAAAUACAUGACUAGAAAGACCUUAAAAAGGAGAUUUGGCAUUGUUUCAUGUGGAGAUUAAAGAACCUUCGAAAUAUAUAACACAGACAUGUUUCAGUUACUUGGGGAUAACACUUAUGAGGAAUUUUGCUAACUUUCAGAUUGGAAUGUGUUGCACAAGAAAUGCUUGAUCACAACCCUCUUCUGUUAAAAACCUUUUCCAUGCAAAUAGUGUAAAUGAAAUUUAGCUAUUUCAUUAGUAAACAUGUUUUCUGCGCAAGUGUGUGUCUUUGACAUUAAAUGCUAUGAUAUUGUCGUAUUCUUAAACAAUGGAAGAUCUCUACUAGUUCUUUCAAAGGAAAGCCAACAACAGGAAUCGAACCUGUUCCUCCAUCGUACAGAUACGAAAGUGUGCACCAUUACACCAUGUUGGCAUACAUUAAGAACUGGUAGCUUUGGAGAGUAAAUAUUACAUUAUUCUGUACAGUUGAUACUGGUUUGUGUGAUAUAUGUAUAAAUAUAUAUAUAUAUACAAGUAUAUAUAAUGUAUGCCUCAUGUUUGGUAGUCGUCAAUAAAGCAUUUGAAUUGAA
RNA transcript from Ostrea edulis (European flat oyster), 2908 nucleotides. It is a transcript of the gene named p21-activated protein kinase-interacting protein 1-like, with no coding region annotated. The record is from RefSeq and is a predicted model, not a curated record. The transcript is spliced from 15 exons. NCBI's taxonomy places the organism in Eukaryota, Metazoa, Mollusca, Bivalvia, Ostreida, Ostreidae.